RNAcentral lists this ribosomal RNA (380 nucleotides) under uncultured eukaryote. RNAcentral describes it as "partial 18S ribosomal RNA". It matches the Rfam family "Eukaryotic small subunit ribosomal RNA", at positions 592 to 976 of the family's 1831-position model. The record is from RNAcentral.
CAAUAGCGUAUAUUAAAGUUGUUGCGGUUAAAAAGCUCGUAGUUGGAUUUCUGCCGAGGACGACCGGUCCGCCCUCUGGGUGAGUAUCUGGCUCGGCCUGGGCAUCUUCUUGGAGAACGUAGCUGCACUUGACUGUGUGGUGCGGUAUCCAGGACUUUUACUUUGAGGAAAUUAGAGUGUUUCAAGCAGGCUUACGCCUUGAAUACAUUAGCAUGGAAUAAUAAGAUAGGACCUCGGUUCUAUUUUGUUGGUUUCUAGAGCUGAGGUAAUGAUUAAUAGGGAUAGUUGGGGGCAUUCGUAUUUAACUGUCAGAAGUGAAAUUCUUGGAUUUGUUAAAGACGGACUACUGCGAAAGCAUUUGCCAAGGAUGUUUUCAUUGA